GCUGCUUCUGAACGGCAUAGGGUGCAUCGUCGGUUGUUCCGCUGAUGGUUGCGGCAACUGAGCUGGUUGUUGCUGGAGGUUUUUGACCGCAUCCAUCAGAACGGUCAUUUGCCAUACGAUCGUCGCGAUCUGCACCUCCGUGGUCACCACCGGGUGCGGAGAGCUGGGUUCCACCAUGGAGGGCAAAGGAGGGGCCUCUCUCUGACGGAAAGAGUGCCUCGUCGAUCUGGUAGCUCUCGAUCGCUGAACCCUGAUUUUCGUCAUCUCGAGAGAUUUUUCAAGCUCUAUGGAGCUC
This 295-nucleotide long non-coding RNA is filed under the name Elaeis guineensis (African oil palm). RNAcentral's name for it is "long non-coding RNA (EGUI_LNC035275)". The record is from RNAcentral. Lineage: Eukaryota; Viridiplantae; Streptophyta; Magnoliopsida; Arecales; Arecaceae.